ACCUUGCUGACGAGUGGCAAAUGGCACGAAACCCGGGUCCAAGGU
This 45-nucleotide non-coding RNA is filed under the name Schistosoma curassoni. Lineage: Eukaryota; Metazoa; Platyhelminthes; Trematoda; Strigeidida; Schistosomatidae. The record is from RNAcentral.